This 460-nucleotide ribosomal RNA is filed under the name uncultured bacterium. RNAcentral's name for it is "partial 16S ribosomal RNA". It matches the Rfam family "Bacterial small subunit ribosomal RNA", at positions 338 to 795 of the family's 1533-position model. The record is from RNAcentral.
CCUACGGGUGGCAGCAGUGAGGAAUAUUGGUCAAUGGACGAGAGUCUGAACCAGCCAAGUAGCGUGAAGGAUGACUGCCCUAUGGGUUGUAAACUUCUUUUAUAAAGGAAUAAAACGAGGCACGUGUGCCUUUUUGCAUGUACUUUAUGAAUAAGGAUCGGCUAACUCCGUGCCAGCAGCCGCGGUAAUACGGAGGAUCCGAGCGUUAUCCGGAUUUAUUGGGUUUAAAGGGAGCGUAGAUGGGUUGUUAAGUCAGUUGUGAAAGUUUGCGGCUCAACCGUAAAAUUGCAAUUGAUACUGGCAGUCGUGAGUACAGUUGAGGUAGGCGGAGUUCGUGGUGUAGCGGUGAAAUGCUUAGAUAUCACGAAGAACCCCGAUUGCGAAGGCAGCUUACUAAACUGUGACUGACAUUGAUGCUCGAAAGUGUGGGUAUCAAACAGGAUUAGAUACCCUAGUAGUC